Saccostrea cuccullata (small rock oyster) is the source of this 1257-nucleotide long non-coding RNA. RefSeq lists it as uncharacterized. The transcript is spliced from 3 exons. The record is from RefSeq and is a predicted model, not a curated record. NCBI's taxonomy places the organism in Eukaryota, Metazoa, Mollusca, Bivalvia, Ostreida, Ostreidae.
GCCAAAUCACAGCAGAGCUCGUGCAAAUCUUCUUCAACAGGUUGUACAUAUAGUCUUGCAAAAUACAGAUUAAAAGCUUAGGGUUUCAUCAUUACACAAAUUGCUAAUUUUUAAAUAACAUAGAAUUAAACAAAACAAAUGUAUAUAAAAUAUGUAAAUGAAUUAUUUCUAGUGUCCUCCGCCCUUUUUCCUGCAUUGACAUCAAUCUCCACUGUGUUUUUCAUCGUCUGUGUUGGACUUGUAACUUUUAUCAUCCUCAAGAGGAGAUAUGAUGGAAAAGGCAAGAAUACUCUUAAUAUGUUCAGAUUCUAAAACUUUUACGCUUUCAAAUGUUUUAAUUAUUGUAUUUAUUUAUUAUUUUCAAAUACAUGCUGUUUCAAAAGACCUGUAAAUGAAGAUUACGUAAUGCAAGACGUCACAAGGAUAGAAGAUCAUCAAUACCAGGACAUCGGUGCGGUUAAAAAGGAUGAAUAUCUCAAAACGCAUUGAAGACUGACGGAUUUUCUGAAGAGCACUGAAGACCAUAAAGCAUGAUUGAUUUACAACUAAAUACAACUCGGGGACAAAACCAUAUGUAAUAUAAGUUGUACUAAUUGAGCUCUGUCCGACAGAAAAUAGUCUAAUUAAAAGUAAAUAAUUUUGAAACUUUUCAUACAUUGACACAGUCUUGUCCUUAUUUGUUUAUUUUUUCAAAAGGUGCAAAUUCAGGGAUAUUUCUUAGUGCAGGGAAAUAGUCAUUUAUCUUAGUGCUGGGAACUUGACGGACAUUAAUAUACAUGAUUUUGAAACAUAGAUUCAUGGAAUGAUCCGUAAGAAGUAUUCAAAGAAAAAAAAAAUAUUGGAAUUCUAUUAACAAAACUUAGAACGGGACGAGGUGCCAUGAAUGUUAGAUGAGUUCACUUUUGAUCUCAUUCUCAUUUUUCUACUAUCUACAUGUAUUUGGUUAAAGUAAGACUGAGAUCAAAAGUUAUCUCGUCUAAGUUUGUUGGCUCUAGAGGAGGCAUUUCCAAAACUAAACACCAUAUUUAACAUCAAGAGAAGCAAAAUUAACGCAUUUGUCAAUUUGUACAUUUACGAACGUUAAAAUUUGGAAUAUAUCAAAUAAAUCAAUCAAUCGUCCUCAUAUUCUCGCGUAACAUACAACAGAGAGGUCCAUAGAUACAAAGAACAGAGCUGUAGUGGGGUAACCAUCACUUAACCACAACACCUCAAAUACCACUGAAUGAAAUUUGAUGAGAAUCUCUAUUACACAAUGAC